AGAGUUUGAUCCUGGCUCAGGACGAACGCUGGCGGCAUGCCUAACACAUGCAAGUCGAACGGCAGCACAGUAGAGCUUGCUCUAUGGGUGGCGAGUGGCGGACGGGUGAGUAAUGCAUCGGGAUCUACCCAAACGUGGGGGAUAACGUAGGGAAACUUACGCUAAUACCGCAUACGUCCUAUGGGAGAAAGCGGGGGAUC
This 200-nucleotide ribosomal RNA is filed under the name uncultured bacterium. Its description in RNAcentral is "partial 16S ribosomal RNA". It matches the Rfam family "Bacterial small subunit ribosomal RNA", at positions 8 to 214 of the family's 1533-position model. The record is from RNAcentral.